ACAAGGAGAAUCAAAUUUUGUUCAGAAGAUCAAAUUAAUCAAAAAAAUUGACUAGUGGAGAAACUUAUAAUUUUUCCAUCAAAAAUUAUAUACAUUUUUUUGGGUUUAUCAUCUUUUAUGCUCCUCGUCGAACUUUGCAUGCUCUCUCCACCCUUAUAUAUAAUUCACUCUGCUUUCUAGUCUAUGUAGAUAAUAGGCUUGAAUCAAGAAAAUAAAGAAAGAGAAAGAGAUGGAAAGUAAUAGGCUCAUAGUGCUUUUGCUUCUUUGUACCUUCCUUUGUCGCGCCGAAUCUGCUCUUCCUUCUCACUAUGAAAUCUCACUCACCGGGAGGAGAAUGAUGGGUUAUAAGCCCAAAAGUGCCAUAGGAAUUAUUAAAAUUUCCAAAACACUACCAUCAACCAGUCCGCGUGCUCCAGGCGGAGGAGGGGGUAAUGAAAGAAGAUUUAUGAGCCAAAUGGGUGUAGCCGUGUAGGAGCAUCAAGCAGUGGACAAGGUAGUCGUCGCAACCACUAACUCCAGUUUCGGUUACUAGUGUUUAAAUAUAUCGUAUGUGUGUGUGUGUGAAUUUUUUUUUUCUGCCUUCACAUGUCAAGAAAUUUUGAAUUAUGUAUUACUAUUAUUUAGUUUUCGGUAUAUCGUGGAAUAAGUAUUGUUCCACACAAGUUUAAUUAGAUCAGUUCAAAAUAUAACUAAUAUUUUAAUAUUAGUAGUGUUAACAUAAUAAUUAAAUAUAAAUUUAACCCACAUUGUAUCACUAAAUUAAUGUCAUUUUACAGAUAUAUUAAUCCUUUAUCCUAUAAAGCAAAAGUCUAUCUGUCCAAUAAUAUAAAGCCACAUCAGAUUUUAUUUUAAUUUUAGUUAAAAAAAAUCAAAAACAAAUGUACACACGAUCCUCUACAAAUACAUGAAUUAAAAAGAAAAACCUUAACCAAUUAAACGUGUUACAAAAUUGU
This is a non-coding RNA of Camelina sativa (false flax), 953 nucleotides long. NCBI's taxonomy places the organism in Eukaryota, Viridiplantae, Streptophyta, Magnoliopsida, Brassicales, Brassicaceae. The record is from RefSeq and is a predicted model, not a curated record.